This is a long non-coding RNA of Onychomys torridus (southern grasshopper mouse), 2794 nucleotides long. RefSeq lists it as uncharacterized. The record is from RefSeq and is a predicted model, not a curated record. NCBI's taxonomy places the organism in Eukaryota, Metazoa, Chordata, Mammalia, Rodentia, Cricetidae. The transcript has 3 exons.
GUGUCGAGUUUGGCCCUCACUCUGUGUGGUGCUGUGGCUGCCUGUGCUGUACCCGAGAGUCAGUAUGUGGGCGCCGGUAUUUUAAAGCUGCCUUCCGGCGAUUUCCAGGCUCCUUUCCAUGAAUGGAGAUAGGAGAGAGGAAGUGAGCCAAGGAGCUAACGCAGGAAAAGGAAUAUAGUAAGAAGCAGAGAGCAUCAAAGGGGAGAGGAACACAGCAAGGAUUUGAUUCCGUGAGAGCAACCAGCGGCAAACCGGAAAUGGCUUCCUCCCUACCCUGCCUGGAGCUGCACACCCUCUGCCACCCGAGCCGGUAUGCCGCAGUUGGCAGAGCUGUCAAAUCACGCUGAACUCCAGGUGCUGAAGAGAAAAGCAGAACUGGAGGGAAUUCAAGCCACAUCUAUAGGCGAGGCUUUCCCAAACGUUGGUGUUGAAGGGAAAGGAGAAAGACGGAAUGAAAGCUUCAGAGCAAGACAGGAAAAGGAAAACACGGAGAUAGAUGAAAAGAUAAGGUGAAGACAGAGGCCAAGCCGGCCAUGAUGGAUCCACAGGAAGGAACAUGGAGGUUGACUAUCAACCACAAGAAGCCAGAAGAGAGAGGCAUGGGGUGAAUUUUCUCUCUAGAAGAAACAAACCCUGUGGAAGCUUUGGUUGUGGACUUCUGGCUUCUGGGCUGUGAGAAAAUGCAUUUCUAUUGCUUUAAGCUAUCAAGUCUGUGGCAAUUUGUUAUAGUACCCAUGGGAAGAUAAUAAAGUCUGCUAUCCACCAGUGCCUUUUCUAACCAGGUCACAGGCUUUCCUCAAACUGAGGUCACCAAGUAGCUUUCACAAAUCCAUCUCCUGAUCCUCAUGAAUCCACAGAAAUAACUGGCAGUGUGAACAAUAUUUGCCCACACUUUCUUCUCGUGUUCAUUGUCUUUACGCAACCCAGAAGUCUAGUCCAUCCACAGCUUCAGGGUCACUUUCCUAUGUUUUCCCCUUCAUUGACAAGGUCAGUACUCUGCUCUUCUUACUCAGUACCCAGGGACAUUAGGUCAGACGUCAGGACCUCAGAAUCACCCCCUAAGGUCUAAAAUUUGUGCCAACUUAUCUCUUCACAGGCAUCCCAAGCUCAUCUAUCUUUUGCCCACACAUUCAUUCUCGCCUAAUGUUUCUGUCUUCCCAGUGACCUCACUAGUCUACCAAGUGACCCCCUUCCACUCCCCAAAUUCAUUCAAACAUUUAGUCCUAAAAGAUCUGCUUAUUCAUUUCUAAAGUUUCCUUCCAUUCUUCAUUCAUCCUGCCCACUGGUUGGCUUUGCACCCCUUAUGAGUCCAAAUUUGACCUUCCAUUGUUUUCCCAGAUCCGGCCCCCUCCAAAUAUUCUGGCACACCACCACUGAAGUGACCUUUCCACAGACAAGCCCAUCUGAGUUAUUUCUUGGAAAAGUCCCCAGUGGCUCUUCUAACAACUCUCGGGAAAAGUUAACAACUUGUUUCUUUCCACUCACACUCACAGGCCCAUUCUAGCACUAUUGCACAAGGAUACCUUACCUCAGUCCUAUAGAAAAUCAGAUAUACUUACACACACAUGAUGCUGUAUCCUUGCUCCAUAUGUCAAAAGCCCAUUCCUUUUAUUUGUUUAACUUGUUCUCAACUUUUCAAAACCUCGGUUUCUAACAUCACUUUAUUCAGAGCGAAGAAGCUCAGACUAAUCCCUCAUUCCUUUGUUGAUACUCAAACCCAGGGCCUUGCAUACGAGAAAAGUGCUUUACCACUGAGCUUAACCACAGCCCUCUAAGUCACCUUUAAUAAUAACAAGUUUAUUUUGAGUAUAAAAGUAAUGCCUGGCAUUGGCAAAAAGUUGGGAGAAGACAAGUAUAAUCCCACAAAGUAUGGUUAUGUUGUAGACAGGCCCCAGGCUGGACUGGUUGCAGCAGAGGGAAACUAUGGACAGCAUAUAGUGCAGAAGAAUGGAACAGUAAGCCUUGACCAUGGGAAGACUUGUCAACAGAACACUUUAGAUAAGGUGGAGCAGGGCAGGCAAUGGACAAAGAGGUUGGCAGGCAGGGAUGGGAGGCUGGAUACUACAGUGCCACCUUAAGAAGACUUCAUCUUACGUUUACAUUUGAGAUAUAUUUGAGUUAUGUUUUGUGAAGGAUGCCAGUCUGUGUUUAUAUUCUACAUAAAUGUCCAGUUCUCCUCGCACAGUCGCUGACUGUCUUCUCGCCAUUGAUCCUUUCUCAGAGAUCACGUGGCCUGCUGUGGACUUAGCUCUAGGUUUCCAACUAAGGUCCACUGGCCCAUUUGUCUCCUCUUGCACUAGUGUCUUACUCCUUUGAUUGCUGUCACUUUCUACUGAGUCUUGAGGCUGUAUAAUGUCAGUCCUCCAACUUUGCUUGGCUCCUGAAAUAUCAUGGUACAUCCUCGGGGGGUUGCUAAUGUAAAUGGGAUUGUAUUUUCAAUGUCAAAGUCCAUUCUGUAGCUGUAUAUCAUCAAAGUUGCUUACUUUUGUAUAGCAAACAUCUUUCUAUACACUGUAUUACUUGUAAUCAAGUAUUAGUUCUAGGAGGCUUUAUUUUUUAUUCAACAUAUAUAAUCAAAUCAUGGAUAAACAAAGAUAAUUUUGGUUUUCCUCAAACAGCAUACUUUCUCUUGUCUUUUAUUCCCAGUAUGUUGAAAAGCAGUAGCAGGGACUGGAGGACAUCUUUGCCUUGUUCCUGAUCUCAGCAAGAAACUGUCUAAUUUCUUACUGUUAAGAAUGACAUUAAGACAAUUGUGGUGGUACACACCUUUAAUCUCAGUAUUCAGGAGCAGAAG